This 253-nucleotide ribosomal RNA is filed under the name uncultured bacterium. RNAcentral describes it as "partial 16S ribosomal RNA". It matches the Rfam family "Bacterial small subunit ribosomal RNA", at positions 524 to 776 of the family's 1533-position model. The record is from RNAcentral.
UACGAAGGGGGCUAGCGUUGUUCGGAAUUACUGGGCGUAAAGGGCGCGUAGGCGGUGUGUCAAGUCAGGCGUGAAAGCCCCGGGCUCAACCUGGGAACAGCGCUUGAGACUGGCACGCUCGAGUUCGGGAGAGGAUGGUGGAAUUCCCAGUGUAGAGGUGAAAUUCGUAGAUAUUGGGAAGAACACCGAUGGCGAAGGCAGGUCUCUGGGCAUUAACUGACGCUGAGGAGCGAAAGCAUGGGGAGCGAACAGG